This 877-nucleotide ribosomal RNA is filed under the name uncultured euryarchaeote. RNAcentral describes it as "bacterial SSU rRNA". It matches the Rfam family "Archaeal small subunit ribosomal RNA", at positions 21 to 903 of the family's 1478-position model. Lineage: Archaea; Methanobacteriati; Methanobacteriota. The record is from RNAcentral.
AGCCACUGCUAUCGGAGUCCGACUAAGCCAUGCGAGUCCAGGUGCUUCGGCACCGGCGGACGGCUCAGUAACACGUGGACAACCUACCCUCGGGAGGGGGAUAACCCCGGGAACCUGGGAAUAAACCCCCAUAGGUCAUGGAUGCUGGAAGGCGCCAUGACCGAAAUUCCGAAAGGAGCCCGAGGAUGGGUCUGCGGCCUAUCAGGUCGUAGUGGGGGUAACGGCCCCACUAGCCUACGACGGGUACGGGCCCUGAGAGGGGGAGCCCGGAGAUGGACUCUGAGACACGAGUCCAGGCCCUACGGGGCGCAGCAGGCGCGAAAACUCCGCAAUGCUCGAAAGAGCGACGGGGGGACUCCGAGUGCCUACGCUUUGCGUAGGCUUUUCCCGAGCCUAAAAAGCUCGGGGAAUAAGGACUGGGUAAGACGGGUGCCAGCCGCCGCGGUAACACCCGCAGCUCGAGUGGUGGCCGCUUUUAUUGGGCCUAAAGCGUCCGUAGCCGGUCUGGUAAAUGCCUGGGUAAAUCGUCUGGCUCAACCAGACGGCUCCCAGGUAGACUGCCAGACUUGGGACCGGAGGAGGGAGAGGGUACUCCAGGGGUAGGGGUGAAAUCCUGUAAUCCCUGGAGGACCACCGGUGGCGAAGGCGCUCUCCUAGGACGGGUCCGACGGUGAGGGACGAAAGCCAGGGGAGCAAACCGGAUUAGAUACCCGGGUGGUCCUGGCCGUAAACGAUGUGGACUUGGUAUUGGGAUGGCUACGAGCUGUCCCAGUGUCGUAGGGAAGCCGUUAAGUCCACCGCCUGGGGAGUACGGUCGCAAGGCUGAAACUUAAAGGAAUUGGCGGGGGAGCACUGCAACGGGGGGAGCGUGCGGUUU